Molecule: transfer RNA, 77 nt
Filed under: Candidatus Abawacabacteria bacterium RIFCSPHIGHO2_01_FULL_46_8
Lineage: Bacteria; Candidatus Abawacaibacteriota
Description: tRNA-Ala
Rfam family: tRNA
About the family: Transfer RNA (tRNA) molecules are approximately 80 nucleotides in length. Their secondary structure includes four short double-helical elements and three loops (D, anti-codon, and T loops).
Source: RNAcentral
GGGGCUGUAGCUCAGUUGGCUAGAGCGCUUGCAUGGCAUGCAAGAGGCCAGGGGUUCGAAUCCCCUCAGCUCCACCA